Molecule: small nuclear RNA, 99 nt
Filed under: Castor canadensis (American beaver)
Lineage: Eukaryota; Metazoa; Chordata; Mammalia; Rodentia; Castoridae
Source: RNAcentral
GAGCUCACUUCAAUAGUACAUAUGCUAAAUUGGAACUAUAGAGAUUUAUAUGGCCCCUGCUCAGGGAUGACACAAAUUUGUGAAACAUUUUGUGGCUUU